Molecule: non-coding RNA, 1398 nt
Organism: Dermacentor albipictus
Lineage: Eukaryota; Metazoa; Arthropoda; Arachnida; Ixodida; Ixodidae
Source: RefSeq, a predicted model, not a curated record
AGGACGGGAAGGCGGAAGCUGCGCCAUCAUGCUCGUUUUCGCGUGCGUUCGCGUCGCGCGCUGUGCGAAGUAAUUUUAAACGUGUGAUUAGUUUUGCGCGCGGGGUAGAAAAAGAUGUGGCCCAUGCUUUGUGUAUUACUCGUGCCGCACUUCAAAGCAAAGCGUUCGUACGCACUGGAAGAUGGAUCCACGAAGGCUGAAACGAGAAGUUGCAACGUGCCCGGUCGGUAGUACUGGCAUGAUGGAAACUUUCAGCGAGUGUUCCCGCCUGAAAGCCGAGUUUGGUUUCAAGCCACCCUGGACAACUGCUGUAUGAGGCGCCGUUUCUCGGGAGGACCAGUGGGAAGGCGCCAAGUCAUGCAGAUGGUAGCAGCGAUUUCACAAUGCCCAGCCUUGGCGCCCCCCAUCAAGAGCAAGCCACUUGCUUUCGCCUUCAGACAGAUGGUUAACGUCUUCUUGAAAGCGGUUGAGAAGACAACAUUGCUGCAAGAUUCCAGCAAUGCCAUGCGCUGCAUUUAUUGGUCAAGAUGCUCAGAGAAUGGAGUCCCUGCACCUCGUGGUUAACCGUGAACAUUUCUUUUUCUUUUGGAAAGCUAAAGGCCAUUUGCUGCAUCACUUGCAUUUUUGCAGCUCAGAUGUGUACUAUAUUUUUCUAAUUUUGAAUCAAUAUUGGCUAUUCAGUAUAAAAAAUGACGUACAGCGUGAAGGACAAGGACUGCGAGAGACACACUCCACUGACUUUCAACAAUAUUUUAUUGCGUUGCCACAUCGUGUGUGUAUACACAGAGGGGUCAUGCGCAGAAAAUGAAAGCCAGACACAAGGGGUGUUCUAACAGCAAGUCAUGGUAAAAAGAACAUGGUCACUUGAAAAAAAAAACAUCACAAUUUCUAUCUGUUUAGAUACAAAAUUUCACUAGGGGUCAGCGUGAUAGAGGGGGCACUAACGCACACACUACCCAGUUUUCUGGUGAAAUCAGCUUCAAUAAUUUACCGGGUGAGCUGUGUCUCGCUAAAACUUCCGUAUCUUAAAGAGGGGCAUGCAGCCGCAGUCCCGGCAAUGAAUGCCCAAGUGGCCUUGAACAGUGUUAUGGACGUUGUUAUAGUGCUCUCUUAAACGAUCAUUUAGGCGCCUGCCUAUCUGUCCAAUAUAUUUACUGCCUCAAAAUGGGAAUUUGGGAAACCACAUUCAUUGCACACAUCGAAAAACGUUUUCUGUGCUCGGCAGAGCAACCACUCUGACGUGAUUUAGGCGCGUUUACACACUUACAGAGCCUUGCCAGCUUUUCCGGGGCUGAGAAAAGGACUGAUUUCUGCAGGUCCCCUAAUCUUUUUUAGCCUAUGGGAGACAUCGUGAACAUACGGUAGCACUGCAAACCUGUGUCUUUCAACCGGCUGGUU